This is a long non-coding RNA of Syzygium oleosum, 5653 nucleotides long. RefSeq lists it as uncharacterized. The record is from RefSeq and is a predicted model, not a curated record. The transcript has 2 exons. NCBI's taxonomy places the organism in Eukaryota, Viridiplantae, Streptophyta, Magnoliopsida, Myrtales, Myrtaceae.
CCACUACUUUCUGCCUCCUCCGAUGUUGGGUUUUCGUCCUCGUGCUCAUGCACUUCUCAUGUGCUAUCUUGUUUCGUUUUUUUUUUUAUUAUCUUUUCCAGGCAAUACCAAGCUCGCACCAGAGGUCUCAAUGCGUACGACCGGCGCUGGAAGUUGGUCGAUGAUUUACGUUACUUUCUAUGGCAAAGAAAGAUCAGCACUAGCAAAUUUGCCAGUUAAAACUGAUCAAGACACUUUACGAGAAGGCUACAGGUAUUUUCAUCUUGUGUCCCUAUACAUUUUUAUAGCAUUUUGUAUAUGCAAUAUUUCUAUUUUGAGCCAGAGGGUACUAGUUAUGUUUAUUUCGUUUUGAAGCGCUAAUUAUAACUUUAUUGAGGACUAUAACUUAAGAGAGAGGGCAUAUGAUCAAAGUGAAAUGCAUCAAUGUUGGCAGGCGUUCCAUCUUUAUAAAAAUUCAUUCAAUACUCAUGGUUCUUAAAUUUCGUUUUCCUCAUCAGUGAAUCAGAGGCUACAUCAAGUGUACCACUGCCGAUGACUUUUACUGUAUAAGUCAACCGUUUCUCUCCUUUCUUUCCUAUUUUUUUGGGGAUUUGAUGGAUACUGAUGUUCACAAGCUUAUGGUGUCAUUUGUGCAAGUCUUGUAUGAUGUUGUUAUGCUACAUAGGUUAGAUUGAAUGAAGCGAUGUUUUGAACUGCUACUCGUUCUUCCAUUUGGUAUCUCUUAACAGUUUGCUAUGAAUCAUGAACUAUUAAUUGGGAGUUUGCUCAGUUUAUAUGGAUGGUCUUUUCAUCUAUCUUUGACAUUUCUUCUCCUGCACUUCAGUGUAUGCAUUUAUCGAUUUCGGCGCUCUUUAUCAAGGUCAUAUUUACUUCAGAUUUAUUUUUAUACUUUAAUUAAUGGAUUGAUUUAGGUUUAUAAGAACAGAGGAAGAAUUGAAGCCGAUUGUUAGCUUGUGUGAGGAGUGAGAGUUUCUUCUUGACAAGAAUCCUGCUAGUUAUAACCAAUCUCUAAAAGUUAAACAUCUAGUAAGAAAUGAACUGCAAAUACUAACCUAACAACACCAUACACAAAAAAUUGGGAGAAACAACUCUUCAAAACCCAAAACCAUUUAUCUGCAUGAGCAGAAUAACAAACCACAAGAUUAAUAAUUAAGGAAACUUGAGAGAUGAAUAGGACCAAAAUAGCUUAUGCUUCGCUCCUCUUUGCUACGUAAAACAACAGCCCAUCAGCCUCCUUUAAGAGACACUUUUUCCCACCCUACCAAGGGUUCCAAGCUUUCAACUCCUAAUUUAUCCACUCCCAAAAAGGGGAGGUGCCACAUGGACAACGUCUUGGCCAAAAACAGCCAAUACUUAAAGAAGUGAAAGGUGCAGCUGAAAUUUGGAUUGGAUCGGGAAGUACGUGCCCUGAAAAGUAUUUGCAUUGGAUUGCUGGGAAGAGAAUACUUACCUAAUUAGAUCAGCAAUAGAUACAAUUUUUCGAGUUCUCCCGCUGUGCACACUCGCGAAGCUUAGGUAAUCUUGCCAUGGAGCCAUCAUCAUCCACUACCAUACAGAGAACUGCCACAGGUUCCAAUCCAGCCAACACAGCAAGGUCGACAGAAGCUUCUGUAUGCCCAGCUCUUUUCAGGACACCACCCUCCCUGUACUUCAAUGGGAAAAUAUGUCCUGGCCUGUUGAAAUGUUCAGGUUUCAAAUCUCUAGAUGCAAGAGCCAAAACUUUCGUUGCCCUGUCAGGCGCUGAUAUGCCUGUAGUUAUCCCAUGCUUUGCAUCCUAUAACAAUAUCUAAUUAAUUAUCAUCAGUUACAAGAUACGAGAAGAGCUGAUUGAAGGAACUAUUUAAGCAUCUUACAACAUAUACCACAGUCACGGUGAAUGCAGUCCGAAGCUUCUCUUGAUUCUCCCCCUGAUUCACCAUCAAAGGAAGUUGCAAGCGGUCCAAAUCCUUCCUCUUUCAUGCUCGCACAAACAAUCCCAGUGCCAUACUUCACCAUAGAUGCCAUAGCCUAAGGUGUUGCCAUUAAAAGAUCAUCCUCAUUCUUCCUGUCUUCAUCGUCUGCCACCAUUACAAUCUGGAAUUCAGUUCCAACCAUGAGAUAGGCAUUAAUGGAUGAACAAUUGAAAUGCACUCGAAAAUGCAAUGCAGAAAGCCUACCAACCUUCCCUUAGCGGAUGUCCUCGAUCGCUUCUGGAAUAGAAGCAAAGGCUGCUCUGGGUGGAUCCAAGUCAAAUUCAUCAUCUUCGAUGAGGAUAACUCUCUGUAGACGAAAAACCAAUUUGGCGAAGAAGGGUGGGCCUGAAGCAGCAAAUUUGUUGAUUUCGAGUUUCGGCAGACUCUACAUGAAACUAGACCACAGUUAGAUGAAUAUAAGACACAUUUUUCCGUUGACAAAUGCCCUAAAUUCUAAGUGUUUACUUUCACAUGCAACCGAGAGGUUUUGCAAUCCUGGUAUGGAGAUCUAGCGAUUGCUCGUGAUACCUUCAUUAUUCAUCGAAAAAUCUGAUAUCUCGUGGAUGCUCAUGUUGUGUUUUCAUGCACGUUGGACGUUGGACCACAGGUGUGAUUUUGAAAUUUCACUUUAUUUAAUUUAUGGGCUCGUAAGAUUACCAAUUCUAAUAGAAGACAUGGUCUCUUUUUUCCCUAUUAAGCAUUUCAGGUGUAUCGAAAGAAGAUAAAUAUUAUUUACAAACCGAGAGGAUGUGGUAGAGACGAUCAGUGUUAGAACCCUCGAAGCGUUACCGUGGGAGUUCAAAAAUUGUGUACGCUAUCGUAGGGUCUAAGAGCAUAGUGUUAAUGGCAUUUUGCCUGCAAAUUGCCAGGUUGGGAUUGAGGACCCAUGCUAGAAAAUAGUAGCAUAAAUGUGCAUUUUGUUUUCCUUUUGUUUCUUUAGUAUUUGCUUGUUUUUAUUAUGUUUCUCAUCGUAGAUUGGUUCACAAAAUAUCUACAUUGACAGAAUAUUACUUGUGAGUUCAUAAAGAGAUACAUUCAGAAGAACUGGCAUAUUGCGACUCUUAGGUAUUUAGACAAAUCGUGGCUGGGGCAGCUCAACACCUAUCAACACAAUUUUUUGCAGCAAACAUCUCUAGCGGUUGGUCAGUGUUCGCAAGAGAAACUUGUCUGCAUGUUUGAACUUUUUGGUAGGGAUGGUGUUGUGUUCAAAGUCUCCAUCUUCAGCAAUGCCGGUAGCGAUAAGAACCUCAUUUAGGUCGAUUGAGAUGAACAUUGGAAGAUUCACUUGAGGCUAUAUAUCAGCAAAGCAAUUCGUGUCUCCUUUAUUCCGCUGUGAUGAGUCAAUUGAAAGUGCACUUACUUUUGGCUUUUCUUCUGAAUUAGUUACAAUCUCAUGAGAAUUAUCCUUAUUUCCCUUUGUGCAGUGAGCCCUUUCGAGCAUCUUUUCCAUGGCAUAUCUCCAUGGUGAUUGUCACCCAUUCCACAUCUGUGCCUCACUGUCCAAACUUUUCCCAAGUUAACUUGCUUUCAGUAGAAAUUACUGGAUAUGUUAUCUUCCUUCAAGUGUUCAUGGCCAUAUGUGUAAAUCAGGACACAAGGUCAUAGGGUUGAAAAAGGCAAUAACCACCAUGAAUUAGGAAUCUAAUGAUUUAUAGUUCAAGUAUAAAUGCCUCCCAAAAGGGACUACUUGAUACUUUCUCUGCACAUAAUGACUACUCUCUCUCUCUCUCUCUCUCUCUAUAUAUAUAUAUAUUUUAUAGGGAUUGUCAUAAAUAGUGUUUAUUCUUUACAAGCAGCUUUGAUUGCUAUCCUAGUGGAAAUAUGGACGGUUACUCAAAUGUAAAUGUUGAUCAAGGUCGCUUUUGGAGAAUUUUUGUCCAGCAAAUAUAAGAAUCUAAUAGACAAUAAAGAGCAAUUCUCUACUAAUAUGAACUAAAGAUACAUGGGAUUGCAUUUUCCCUUAGCUCCCAAGCACUUCGAUCCUUGGACCAUGUUCUCCUUCUAAUCCUUGACUUCUGACUCUUCAGGAUUUCUAUCCUCUCUUAUUCUGAUUUUACUCCGAUGCACUUCAAUUGUUAUGGUGCAUAAGUAUCAUUCAAUGAGAUUAGAUGUUGCCGCAUUUGUGGGUCCAUAUGUAAAGAGUAGUAGCUAUGAAGGUUGUGCCCAGUUUGGUUUUUGUGUCCCCAAUUCAAACCAAACGGAUUACAUCACAUGUAUCUUCAGUGUCUCUUUACUUCGAAUUGCAAAUCGAGAUAUCAACAUGGCAAAGGCAGGUCAUAGAAUCAGAAUCCAAGACCAUUUGUAGGGAGAAGUUCGGCAAUUCACUUAAUGUUGUUGGAUUAGAUUGUAAGAGGUGGAUCAAACAAGGAAACUAUGUUGAUGAGGACUUACUAACACAGCAACAAUGUGUCUAACUCGGUGAUGGUGGACCAGUUGUGAUUGUACGGUUUCACCAUUUUGAUAUAAUGACCAUGUAAGAGUGUUCAAGCUCUAAAGAGUUACAAGAUAUUUUUGUACUUUUCUAUAACUAAUCAGAGUGUGUGAAAAGAAGAUCGAUAACUUCAUAUUUUCACUAGAUUCGUGUGUGUCUCUUAUAUUUGAUUACAUGUACUCUAUUAGACAUAUACAUUCUAUAUGGGCACUAGCACUCCCCCUUUUCUUUAUGUUUGCUUGUAGCUAUUAUGUUUCUCAUCUUAGAUUGGGUCACAAAAUAUCUACAUCGACAGAGUGUUACUUGUGAGUUCAUAAAGAGAUACAUUCAGAAGAACUGGCAUAUCACGACUCUUGAGUAUUUAGACAAAUCGUGGCUGGGGCAGCUCAACACUUAUCAACACAAUUUUUUGCAGCAAGCAUCUCUGGCGGUUGGCCCACGUUCGCGAGAGAAACUUGUCUGCAUCAAGAUGUCUGCGCGUUUGAACUUUUUGGUAGGGGCGAUGUUGUGUUCAUAGUCUCCAUCUUCAGCAAUGCCGGUAGCGAUAAGAACCUCAUUUAGGUCGAUUGAGAUGAACCUUACAAGAGUCGCUUGAGGCUAUAUAUCAGUAAAUUCGUGUCUCCUUUAUCAGCUGCGAUGAGUCAAUUGAAAGUGCACUUACUUUUGGCUUUUCUUCUCUUUUCUGAAUUAGUUACAAUCUCAUCAGAAUUAUCCUUAUUACACAUAUAUUAUAUGAGGACUUGUUUUGUUCUGGAGCUGUCUAUUUGGAUCGAGAUUUGUCUUCUUAUCCUCGGUGAAAGCACCAAAGUUACAUUGGAUGAUGAUAUGCUACUGUGCCCUUGGUAUGCUUACAGGCGGCAAUAUAGGGAAGAGAUAUGCCAGAAUCGAUGAGCUUGGCGUGCCCCUUUCAAUCACUGUCCUUUCAAGUGCUGCUGAUGCUGAUGCCACCAUUCGAGAAAGGGACAGCAGAGAGGGAGUUCAGGUUAAUAUGGGUAUAGUGGCUUCCGUUGUGAAGGCUUUGAUUGACGGGUCGAGGACCUGGUCCGACGUAAGGUCAAGUUUCCCACAUCGUGAAUAGUUUAGUUGCUGAUAUCAUUGUUUACUUAACUUUACAUCAGUUAGGAUCAAACAUUUUGUCACAAUUUUGGGGGACAUCCGAGGUAGCAAACAAAUGGUGUACUUUUGAUACAUCUUUUGCCGGCUAAACAUGCUGUUCAUGUCUUUUUCGUGUGGUAACCCGGAGAUAAAAACAAAUAGGAAGUUGCAGAUC